Molecule: unclassified non-coding RNA, 425 nt
Filed under: soil metagenome
Description: partial contains 5.8S ribosomal RNA, internal transcribed spacer 2, and large subunit ribosomal RNA
Rfam family: 5.8S ribosomal RNA (bases 1-120)
Source: RNAcentral
GAUGAAGAACGUAGCGAAAUGCGAUAAGUAAUGUGAAUUGCAGAAUUCAGUGAAUCAUCGAAUCUUUGAACGCACCUUGCGCUCCUUGGUAUUCCAAGGAGCAUGCCUGUUUGAGUAUCAUUAAAUUAUCAACUGUGCCAAUUUGGUUACAGAUUGGAUGUGGGAGAUUCUUUUUGCAGGCCUUUGACUUCUCUUUGAGAAAAAAAAUAAAAGGUCGGCUCUCCUGAAAUGUAUUAGCAGUGCCUUUGUUGGUUCAUUAGGUGUGAUAAAUUGUCUACUUCUUCGCAUGAUACCUUCAUUUGUAAAGGUCAUAUUGCUUCUAAAUUGUCUUUGAUUGGACGCAAAACAUAUAUAAUGUUUGACAAACUUGAUCUCAAAUCAGGCAGGACUACCCGCUGAACUUAAGCAUAUCAAUAAGCGGAGGA